CUUUUGCGGAGUUAGAGGAGUUAAAAGCUGUGACUUGUGAGGCUUGUGAGGGAUGUGAAUUGUUUAUGGGAACCUGGAAAUCUUAGAGGAAAUUAUCUGAAGGGGAGAAAGAAAAGGUAUCCCUUUAUUUUGAAUUUUUUUUCAUAUUUAAAGAAAGUGAUUUAUGAGAAUCUGCCAUUUUCAAGAUUCUUGUUCCAGAAAAGUUUGGCAAGAAUUCAAAUCUCGUUUCUAUAAUCUGCCGUGAGCAAUCUUUUAUUGGAGGAUGAUUUAAAAGACGGAAGAAAAUAGUAGGUGAAGAAGGUGGUUAAUCUGAGUUGGAUAUAUACGCAGGAAAUAGCUAGUAGGCGCAAGGUGUUGGAGGAGAAUCAAGAAAUUAGAUAUGAGUGGAAAAGAUCCGGUGAAGCUUGAUGACGACCAACUGGCGGAGCUACGUGAAAUUUUCCGGUCAUUUGAUCGGAAUAAGGACGGUAGCUUGACGCAACUGGAGUUGGGAUCAUUACUUCGGUCGCUUGGUCUAAAGCCAAGCGAAGACCAGUUGGAGGCUUUGAUACAGAAAGCAGACAAGAACAGCAAUGGUAUGAUCGAGUUCUCGGAGUUUGUAGCCCUUGUGGAGCCUGACCUCCUUCAGACUAAGUGCCCCUACACAGAGGAUCAAUUGAAGAAGAUAUUUAGCAUGUUUGAUAGGGAUGGGAAUGGAUAUAUUACUCCGGCAGAGUUGGCUCAUUCCAUGGCCAAGUUGGGGCAUGCUUUGACGGCUGAAGAGUUGACAGGGAUGAUCAAGGAGGCAGAUACAGAUGGUGAUGGGUGUAUCAACUUUCAGGAGUUUGCUCAGGCUAUUACCUCUGCUGCUUUUGACAAUUCUUGGUGCUGAAGGUAUUGAGAUCAUUUUUUUUUCCCCUCUUUUUUCCGUGCUUUCUAUAGUAUGUUUGGAAGCAAAGAAAAUUGGUGAAAAAGAAACAGAAACAGAAAUUGAAAUUUUACUUCAGGAUCAUGUGCAUUUUUAUUGGUAUGGUGAGUGGUAGAGAAUAACUUCGGGUUUCUGGGAGUUUGCAAAUUAUUUGUUUUAAUUCCUUUCAUGAAUUUUCUUAGGUACCAAGCAGGGCAAAUUCGGUGCUUUACGAAAGAUAUUGGUCAGGCUAUUUUUCUUAUGCAGAAUCUAUAGAAAUACAUGCUUGUUCUGUUCUUGUUUAAACUUUAGUCUUUAGUUUUGCAUUUGCUAUCAUCUGUUGCCUUGCAAUUACUCAGUUUUGAGGUGGAAUGGAAAGUUGAGAGGACAAUGGAUUGCACUGGUACUUUUGUGUAAGAAUUCUGUUAUAAUUGAUGCCCAUGUAUAUGACUUGUAAAUUAAAUUCGUUCUGAUCCAAUCUCACAUUAUGGUUUUGCCAUCGCCCUGGCCCUGUAAUUAUGAAUGGAAGAAAACAGAGUAUUGAAGAUUAUCUAAAGUCCAUUAAUCAUAA
RNAcentral lists this unclassified non-coding RNA (1457 nucleotides) under Hevea brasiliensis (rubber tree). Lineage: Eukaryota; Viridiplantae; Streptophyta; Magnoliopsida; Malpighiales; Euphorbiaceae. The record is from RNAcentral.